UCACCUACUGAAGUAAUAAACGAUAAGGCAGAUUGUAGGUAGGAAUGAUAUCUAAAAAGGAACAAUUGCAGCCCUGUGUGUGACACCCUCAGGCAAGGUAAGGCCUACCUUUUAGUGUUUCCCCUUUCAAGGUGGGAGUUUGGAGAGAUGAACAAGCACUUUGGAAGCAUCCCCAGCCCUCUUUACCUGACAACAGUUUGGUCCUCACAGUGACUGCUUCAUUGGAGUGCCUCUCCAGUGUUAUGGCACCAUCAUCUGUUACCACCCAAGGCUGUGAUGAAAUAAGAUACAACAUAUCCGAUGACACAGGCCUGCAUGGCUAGCAUCUUGAACAUUUUAUUACAUGAACAUUCUCUGUACGAUGGUAUAAAAAGGCCCGAGGAUUAAAUUAUGUAUAAAAUAUGAAAUAAAGAAGUAAGACUUUCAAGCAUGCACUCUGUCCUCCCUUGUUGGAUGUAGGGGUAGGAUUGCCAGUAACAAAGGUUUUCUUUGCUAUUUCUAUCUCUUUAAUUCCCCUGUAUUACAUAGGAAGUAGCUGUUACACACAGCUCUGAGGUUUCUUCUGCCUAUGGCUGAGGAAAGCUCAUUAUUGACACAACAGAGUGGUGAAAGGGGCCAAGUCAACUAAUUUGGGGCUUGAAUUUCCUGUGGUUGCAGCAACAAAGUACCACACGUUAGGGAGCUUAGGCAACAGAUUUCCUCUCCCUGUUAAGGAUGGCAGGCAUCUGAGAAGUGGGUUCCUCAUAAGGGAUAACCCAUUCCAGUGCCCCUCUCCAGUGUGUGGCAGGUCCCAGAAAUUCUUAGUUUUCUCUAGUUGUACCUGCAUCUCUGCCUCUGCCACUUUUGUCACAUGGCCAUCUUGUGUUUCCUUUUUAUAAGCACACCAGUGUUGUAUACAGGUGGGUAUUUGGAAACAUGGAAGCAUUUUGUUCAGUAUCUAGUGACAGUGAUGGAAAGAGAUGAUUUGCAGAGAAGGUCAGAGCAGCAUGAGGGUCUUAGGUAUGGAGCUGCAGCCAACAUUAUGGACAUGGAAGAGAGGGAUUGCUGGACUUUUGGUUUCCUGCCUGGGUACCUGGACAAUCUAUCUACCAUUGGGAGGACUAGGUAACAGUGGAAGUUAGUUAUGAGAGAAGUUGUUUGAUGUUCAAUUCUGAUCUAGCCAGGCUCAGUGUGAGAUGUCCUGGGUCCCUUCAUCUUGCCUUGACUGUUAGGUGCAGUUUCAUAUUGAAACUGCAGGCUCUUUUUUAUCCAUUGCUACUGGCAACCAGUGUGAUCUGGUAAAUCUGUUUCCACUUUGCUUAGUGCUCUCCACUGAUUUUCUGUUACUUGAGACCUAAACUCCAUCUUCAGCCUUGUGUUGAUCUAAUGUCAUGUCAACUUCUCUAAAAGCUCAGCCAAUUCUACACUGGCCUUCUAUUCCUUUCCUCAAACCACUUAGCACUUUUUUUUUUUAAAUUUUUUUAGAUUUAUUUAUUUAUUUAUUAUAUGUAAGUACACUGUAGUUGUCUUCAGACACUCCAGAAAAGGAGUCAGAUCUUGUUACGGAUGGUUGUGAGCCACCAUGUGGUUGCUGGGAUUUGAACUCCAGACCUUUGGAAGAGCAGUAGGGUGCUCUUACCCACUGAGCCAUCUCACCAGCCCAGCACUUCUGUUUCUUAAGGCUGUUGCUCCUGUUGUCUCCUUUGCUGAGAAAGUUCUGUUCCCUAAUUUGUACUGUUGACUACUUUUUGUCAUCCAUAUAAGUGUAAACAAAAGUUCUUUCAUCUGAUCUCUUCAUCCUAAAUCAUACUACCCUGUUUUAACUCACAUUACUACCACUGACCUUUUCUAGUGUUUUUUUCUUUUCUACCACUAGAGGGAGACAGAAGCCGUAUCAAUUUAGUCGUAUACUCAACACAGGGAAACUGCAUUUACUGAUGGCUGAGCUUGUCUGAGACGAUAUCAGGAUUCCCCUGCCAAUAUCUUCAUGGACGUCACUUGUCACCAUAAUUGGUGACUUAUAGAAGUUAUUAAUGUACUAGAAAUUAUAGUACAGAAAUCUUAUUUUAGGACUAUAGUACCAAUAGCCUUUUUUUGUGGUGCUGGGGAUAGAACCCAGGGUCUUUCACAUGUAAGCAUUCAUACCAUCACUGAGCUACAAUCCCUGGUUAUCAGCUUCUCACUUUAUUUACCUUCCCCUGACUUUGACAGCCCUGUCUAGUUUGGAACUUAUUAUGUAAUCCACGAUGGCCUUGAAUUUACAGCCAUCCUCAGCCUCUCCAGUGCUAGGAUUAUAAAUAUAUCUGACUAGCUUAUUUUUUUCAUUUUGUUCAGGUUUUUAAUGAGUGUCUUGGUUUCAGAUAUGAAAAACAGAAUUUGGAAGAAAGCCAGUUGGGCCAGUCUGUGGUAGAGCAUGCACUCAAAGUUGAAGCAAGAUGUUAAUGAGUUCUAGGCUGGCUUAGGCUUCAUAGCAAGAUCCUAUCUCAUAAAACAAAAAGUUAACUGGUGAUUCCCUGGAGGUGAGAGGGGUGAGGAGAGAGUGAUAGUUAAUGAAUACAAAGUUCUUUGAGGGAAAAUGAGAAUAUUCUGAAAUUGGCUAUGGCGAUACUCAUACAUUUGUGAAUGUGCAAGGAACACUUCAGAUGAAUGACUUUUGUUGUAUAUGGAUUAGGUUGCAAUAAAACUGGCAUUUAAAAUGUUAUCU
RNAcentral lists this long non-coding RNA (2683 nucleotides) under Mus musculus (house mouse). RNAcentral describes it as "long non-coding RNA chrX:74451095-74453778". The record is from RNAcentral. Lineage: Eukaryota; Metazoa; Chordata; Mammalia; Rodentia; Muridae.